This 1485-nucleotide long non-coding RNA is filed under the name Ursus maritimus (polar bear). RNAcentral's name for it is "lncRNA (ENSUMAG00000019758.1)". Lineage: Eukaryota; Metazoa; Chordata; Mammalia; Carnivora; Ursidae. The record is from RNAcentral.
AAACCUGCCGCCCCAGAGCCACGUGCUGAAGCCGGCGCUGGGUGGGUGGCUGGCCCCGCCCCGAGUGGCUCGGGGAAGGGGGGCUUGCUGGGAACCGCAGCAGGCCAAGUUCCCUGGGGAGGGAGAGAACUCGAGGUGGACACCCUCGACCCCAGGGCACCAGGGAACAAAUGUGUCUGGAGUAGGAGGUCCAGUUCCCUUCGAUGGGGGCAGCUCUGGCCGAGCCUGAAGAAAUGCACUGGCCUAACCUAACUUUCUCCCCUGACCGUGGUGGGAUGGGGUGGAAGCUGGAGACCACCCCGACCUCAUACCCUUCAAAAAGGAUGUAUGUCCCAGGGUUUACAGAACCUCAGUAAAUAGAGGGUGGGUGGCGGUUUAGUGAAGGGGGUGGUUGGUGGUAGGAAGAUGGAAGGAAGCUGUAUAAAAAGAGGAAAGAAGAAUUGUAAGAACAUGUGAAGUGCAGAACUGGACUCCUUGCAAAGGCUGAGAACUCCCUUGGUAGGGGUUACCUCCUCCACCAUUUCACAUUCUGAUUUCUCGUGUUUCUGGUUCGGGCUCAGUUCAGUUGCCACCUUCUCUGGGAAGCGCCUUUCUCCUGCCCCAUCGUCUGAGUGCACUUGGCCCAUGCAUCCAGCCCAGCCUCUGGGUCCUUGGUUCAUCAUCCUCACGGAUUCCAGCGGCCAUUCGGCAGAAAGUCUUUGCUCCUUCCCUUAGCAAUUGGAACAAGGACAGAGGGUCAAUGGAAUUUCAGUGCAACUCACUAAAACUAGCCCGUUGUGUGUACAUCCAUACUCAAGAAUACAGAUGGACUUCAUUAAAGCUAUCGUGUCCUGUGGAAAUACAUUCAUACAAAAAAUAUUAGGGGCCGUCUCUCUCUCUCUUUUUUCCCCCCCUUGAGCGGCUGUGUCUCUUCACAAAACUUUUUCAAAGACUAUUAAAUGUAAGAUUCCUCAUAUGCAUUUACAAGUCUUACUUUUGUUUUUGUUUUUGUUUUUUGGGGGCAACUUUUGGGGGAAAGAUGUUGAAAGUGAGAUAUAAGAUCAAGAGAUGAAUUAGCAGAGAUUUGACUAUUUUCAGGGGUCAUGUAACAAAAUUCUGUAUUACUGCAGAUACCAGAAAACUGAGCUAAAUUAGGAAUAUCUGUCUCCUGAAGUUUGGCCUAACUCCUCAAAACAUCUGUCAUCCGCUGGUAGCAUUUAUCACUCCACAGAGAAGCGAAUCUCCUCUAUGCCGUCCUUGGCCACGUAAUAGAGCAGAGAGCCCAGGACACUGUUAGAAAAUCUUGGCUCUACCUCUGGCUCUGCCAUGUGUGAGCUUUGCUACCUUGGGCCACCUGCUAGUCUGCUUGAGCCUUGGUUUUACUUACCUGUAAUAUAGGGAUCAUUCCAUCUAUGUCUUAGGGCCCAUGUGAAGACCAGAAGAAUAAGAGACACUCAGUAAAGGGUACUCAAUAAAGAGUAGCUUCAAGUGUUUUAGACUUUUUUU